GUCUCAAAGAUUAAGCCAUGCAUGUCUCASUACAAGCCAAAUUAAGGUGAAACCGCGAAAGGCUCAUUAAAUCAGUUAUGGUUCCUUAGAUCGUACCCACAAUUACUUGGAUAACUGUGGUAAUUCUAGAGCUAAUACAUGCAAACAGAGCUCCGACCGGAGACGGAAGGAGUGCUUUUAUUAGAUCAAAACCAAUCGGUGGCGGGUUCGCUCGUUAUCGUACAACUUGGUGACUCUGAAUAACUUUACGCUGAUCGCACGGUCUUCGCACCGGCGACGCAUCUUUCAAAUGUCUGCCUUAUCAACUGUCGAUGGUAGGUUCUGCGCCUACCAUGGUUGUAACGGGUAACGGGGAAUCAGGGUUCGAUUCCGGAGAGGGAGCCUGAGAAACGGCUACCACAUCCAAGGAAGGCAGCAGGCGCGCAAAUUACCCACUCCCGGCACGGGGAGGUAGUGACRAAAAAUAACGAUACGGGACUCAUCCGAGGCCCCGUAAUCGGAAUGAGUACACUCUAAACCCUUUAACGAGGAUCAAUUGGAGGGCAAGUCUGGUGCCAGCAGCCGCGG
This 567-nucleotide ribosomal RNA is filed under the name Trigonopterus pendolensis. RNAcentral's name for it is "SSU rRNA". It matches the Rfam family "Eukaryotic small subunit ribosomal RNA", at positions 34 to 581 of the family's 1831-position model. The record is from RNAcentral. Lineage: Eukaryota; Metazoa; Arthropoda; Insecta; Coleoptera; Curculionidae.